Molecule: ribosomal RNA, 113 nt
Filed under: Bacteroidales bacterium
Lineage: Bacteria; Pseudomonadati; Bacteroidota; Bacteroidia; Bacteroidales
Source: RNAcentral
UAAGGCGGCCAUAGCGGCUGGGCACCACCUCUUCCCAUCCCGAACAGAGAAGUUAAGCCCGCUUGCGCCGAUGGUACUGCGAUACAAUGUGGGAGAGUAGGUAAUCGCCAAUU